UGGGGAAUAUUGGACAAUGGGCGCAAGCCUGAUCCAGCCAUGCCGCGUGAGUGAUGAAGGCCUUAGGGUUGUAAAGCUCUUUCACCCACGACGAUAAUGACGGUAGUGGGAGAAGAAGCCCCGGCUAACUUCGUGCCAGCAGCCGCGGUAAUACGAAGGGGGCUAGCGUUGCUCGGAAUCACUGGGCGUAAAGGGCGCGUAGGCGGCCGAUCAAGUCAGGGGUGAAAGCCUGUGGCUCAACCACAGAAUUGCCUUUGGUACUGUUCGGCUCGAGACCGGAAGAGGUUGGUGGAACUGCGAGUGUAGAGGUGAAAUUCGUAGAUAUUCGCAAGAACACCAGUGGCGAAGGCGGCCAACUGGUCCGGUUCUGACGCUGAGGCGCGAAAGCGUGGGGAGCAAACAGGAUUAGAUACCCUGGUAGUCCACGCCGUAAAACGAUGAAUGCCAGCCGUUGGGCAGCUUGCUGCUCAGUGGCGCAGCUAACGCUUU
This 489-nucleotide ribosomal RNA is filed under the name uncultured bacterium. RNAcentral's name for it is "partial 16S ribosomal RNA". It matches the Rfam family "Bacterial small subunit ribosomal RNA", at positions 355 to 861 of the family's 1533-position model. The record is from RNAcentral.